RNAcentral lists this ribosomal RNA (1396 nucleotides) under uncultured bacterium. RNAcentral's name for it is "bacterial SSU rRNA". It matches the Rfam family "Bacterial small subunit ribosomal RNA". The record is from RNAcentral.
AGAGUUUGAUCCUGGCUCAGGAUGAACGCUAGCUACAGGCUUAACACAUGCAAGUCGAGGGGCAGCAUGGAAGUUUGCUUGCAAACUUUUGAUGGCGACCGGCGCACGGGUGAGUAACACGUAUCCAACCUGCCUCAUACUCGGGGAUAGCCUUUCGAAAGAAAGAUUAAUACCCGAUGUCAUAGUCCUACCGCAUGAUGGGAUUAUUAAAGAAUUUCGGUAUGGGAUGGGGAUGCGUUCCAUUAGUUAGUUGGCGGGGUAACGGCCCACCAAGACAACGAUGGAUAGGGGUUCUGAGAGGAAGGUCCCCCACAUUGGAACUGAGACACGGUCCAAACUCCUACGGGAGGCAGCAGUGAGGAAUAUUGGUCAAUGGACGAGAGUCUGAACCAGCCAAGUAGCGUGAAGGAUGACUGCCCUAUGGGUUGUAAACUUCUCUUAUAUGGGAAUAAAAUGUUCCACGUGUGGGAUUUUGUAUGUACCAUAUGAAUAAGGAUCGGCUAACUCCGUGCCAGCAGCCGCGGUAAUACGGAGGAUCCGAGCGUUAUCCGGAUUUAUUGGGUUUAAAGGGAGCGUAGGUGGAUUGUUAAGUCAGUUGUGAAAGUUUGCGGCUCAACCGUAAAAUUGCAGUUGAAACUGGCAGUCUUGAGUACAGUAGAGGUGGGCGGAAUUCGUGGUGUAGCGGUGAAAUGCUUAGAUAUCACGAAGAACUCCGAUUGCGAAGGCAGCUCACUGGACUGCAACUGACACUGAGGCUCGAAAGUGUGGGUAUCAAACAGGAUUAGAUACCCUGGUAGUCCACACAGUAAACGAUGAAUACUCGCUGUUUGCGAUAUACGGCAAGCGGCCAAGCGAAAGCAUUAAGUAUUCCACCUGGGGAGUACGCCGGCAACGGUGAAACUCAAAGGAAUUGACGGGGGCCCGCACAAGCAGUGGAGUAUGUGGUUUAAUUCGAAGCAACGCGAAGAACCUUACCAGGUCUUGACAUCGUAUGCAUAGCCUAGAGAUAGGUGAAAUCCCUUCGGGGACAUAUAGACAGGUGGUGCAUGGUUGUCGUCAGCUCGUGUCGUGAGAUGUUGGGUUAAGUCCCGCAACGAGCGCAACCCUUACCUUUAGUUGCUACGCAAGAGCACUCUAGAGGGACUGCCGUUGACAAAACGGAGGAAGGUGGGGAUGACGUCAAAUCAUCAUGCCCCUUAUGACCUGGGCUACACACGUACUACAAUGGCAAUUAAAAGAGGGAAGCAAAACAGCGAUGUGGAGCAAAUCCCGAAAAAUUGUCCCAGUUCAGAUUGCAGGCUGAAACUCGCAAGCAUGAAGUCGGAAUUGCUAGUAAUCGCAGAUCAGAAUGCUGCGGUGAAUACGUUCCCGGGCCUUGCACUCACGGCCCGUCAAG